CUACGGGGUUCUGCAGUGGGGAAUAUUGGACAAUGGGCGAAAGCCUGAUCCAGCCAUGCCGCGUGUGUGAAGAAGGCCUUCGGGUUGUAAAGCACUUUCAGUGGGGAAGAAAGCCUUGGGGCUAAUACCCUCGAGGAAGGACAUCACCCACAGAAGAAGCACCGGCUAACUCCGUGCCAGCAGCCGCGGUAAUACGGAGGGUGCGAGCGUUAAUCGGAAUUACUGGGCGUAAAGCGCGCGUAGGCGGUCUGAUAAGCCGGUUGUGAAAGCCCCGGGCUCAACCUGGGAACGGCAUCCGGAACUGUCAGGCUAGAGUGCAGGAGAGGAAGGUAGAAUUCCCGGUGUAGCGGUGAAAUGCGUAGAGAUCGGGAGGAAUACCAGUGGCGAAGGCGGCCUUCUGGACUGACACUGACGCUGAGGUGCGAAAGCGUGGGUAGCAAACAGGAUUAGAUACCCUUGUAGUC
This 464-nucleotide ribosomal RNA is filed under the name Vreelandella stevensii. RNAcentral's name for it is "partial 16S ribosomal RNA". It matches the Rfam family "Bacterial small subunit ribosomal RNA", at positions 339 to 795 of the family's 1533-position model. Lineage: Bacteria; Pseudomonadati; Pseudomonadota; Gammaproteobacteria; Oceanospirillales; Halomonadaceae. The record is from RNAcentral.